RNAcentral lists this non-coding RNA (131 nucleotides) under Schnuerera ultunensis. RNAcentral describes it as "Clostridium ultunense FMN sequence". It matches the Rfam family "FMN riboswitch aptamer (RFN element)". From Rfam's summary of the family: The RFN element is a highly conserved domain that is found frequently in the 5'-untranslated regions of prokaryotic mRNAs that encode for flavin mononucleotide (FMN) biosynthesis and transport proteins. This element is a metabolite-dependent riboswitch that directly binds FMN in the absence of proteins. Lineage: Bacteria; Bacillati; Bacillota; Tissierellia; Tissierellales; Tepidimicrobiaceae. The record is from RNAcentral. RNAcentral also lists the same sequence under 1 other name.
AACUUCCUUCGGGGCAGGGUGGAAUUCCCGAUCGGCGGUGAUGGACGGAUUGUCUUAAGCCCGCGAGCCGCAAGGCAGGAUCUAGUGAGAAUCUAGAGCCGACAGUAUAGUCUGGAUGGGAGAAGGAUGAC